Molecule: ribosomal RNA, 1331 nt
Filed under: uncultured marine archaeon
Lineage: Archaea
Description: partial 16S ribosomal RNA
Rfam family: Archaeal small subunit ribosomal RNA
Source: RNAcentral
GAGGCUACCGCUAUUGGAGUUCGAUUAAGCCAUGCGAGUCGCGAGAAAUUAGAUUCUCGGCGUACCGCUCAGUAACACGUGGGUAACCUGCCCUAUGCUGGAUAAUAACCUCGGGAAACUGAGAAUAAUGAUCCAUAGUUCACUACGCCUGGAACGGUGAGUGGAUGAAAGCUCCGGCGGCAUAGGAUGGGCCUGCGGCGUAUCAGGUUGUAGGGGGUGUAACGUACCCUCUAGCCCUCUACGCGUACGGGUGUUGGGAGACAUAGCCCGGAGAUGGAUUCUGAGACACGAAUCCAGACCCUACGGGGUGCAGCAGGCGCGAAAACUUGGCAAUGCGAGAAAUCGUGACCAGGGAACUCCAAGUGCAUCGGGUAAGACCGGUGCUUUUCUUGACUCUAAAUAGGUCUUGGAAUAAGGGGUGGGUAAGGACGGUGCCAGCCGCCGCGGUAAUACCGGCGCCUCAAGUGGUAGUCGCUUUUAUUGGGCCUAAAACGUCCGUAGCCGGUCUGAUACAUUCGUGGGUAAAUCAACCAGCUUAACUGGUUGAAUUCUGCGAGGACGGUCAGACUUGGGACCGGGAGAGGUGUGGGGUACGCUCAGGGUAGGGGUAAAAUCCUGUCAUCCUGAGCGGACCACCUGUUGCGAAGGCGCCACACUAGAACGGAUCCGACGGUCAGGGACGAAGCCUAGGGGCACGAACCCGGAUUAGAUACCCGGGGUAGUCCCAGCUGUAAACUAUGCAAACUCAGUGAUGCAUUGGCUUGUGGCCAAUGCAGUGCUGCAGGGAAGCCGUUAAGUUUGCCGCCUGGGAAGUACGUACGCAAGUAUGAAACUUAAAGGAAUUGGCGGGGGAGCACCACAAGGGGUGAAGCCUGCGGUUCAAUUGGAGUCAACGCCAGAAAUCUUACCCGGAGAGACAGCAGAAUGAAGGUCAAGCUGAAGACUUUACCAGACAAGCUGAGAGGUGGUGCAUGGCCGUCGCCAGCUCGUGCCGUGAGAUGUCCUGUUAAGUCAGGUAACGAGCGAGAUCCCUGCCUCUAGUUGCCACCAUUACUCUCAGGAGUAGUGGGGCGAAUUAGCGGGACCGCCGCAGUUAAUGCGGAGGAAGGAAGGGGCCACGGCAGGUCAGUAUGCCCCGAAACUCUGGGGCCACACGCGGGCUGCAAUGGUAACGACAAUUGGUUUCGAAUCCGAAAGGAUGAGGUAAUCCUCAAACGUUACCACAGUUAUGACUGAGGGCUGCAACUCGCCCUCACGAAUAUGGAAUCCCUAGUAACUGCGUGUCAUUAUUGCGCGGUGAAUACGUCCCUGCUCCUGCACACACCGCCCGU